Molecule: ribosomal RNA, 429 nt
Filed under: Acidobacteriota bacterium
Lineage: Bacteria; Pseudomonadati; Acidobacteriota
Description: Acidobacteria bacterium partial 16S ribosomal RNA
Rfam family: Bacterial small subunit ribosomal RNA
Source: RNAcentral
UGGGGAAUUUUGGACAAUGGGGGAAACCCUGAUCCAGCCAUCCCGCGUGUGCGAUGAAGGCCUUCGGGUUGUAAAGCACUUUUGGCAGGAAAGAAACGUCAUGGGUUAAUACCCCGUGAAACUGACGGUACCUGCAGAAUAAGCACCGGCUAACUACGUGCCAGCAGCCGCGGUAAUACGUAGGGUGCAAGCGUUAAUCGGAAUUACUGGGCGUAAAGCGUGCGCAGGCGGUUCGGAAAGAAAGAUGUGAAAUCCCAGAGCUCAACUUUGGAACUGCAUUUUUAACUACCGGGCUAGAGUGUGUCAGAGGGAGGUGGAAUUCCGCGUGUAGCAGUGAAAUGCGUAGGUAUGCGGAGGAACCCCGAUGGCGAAGGCAGCCUCCUGGGAUAACACUGACGCUCAUGCACGAAAGCGUGGGGAGCAAACAGG